Molecule: long non-coding RNA, 5724 nt
Organism: Herpailurus yagouaroundi (jaguarundi)
Lineage: Eukaryota; Metazoa; Chordata; Mammalia; Carnivora; Felidae
Exons: 2
Source: RefSeq, a predicted model, not a curated record
AUCCUUCAGAAUGAGUCAAUGAUGACACUCCGUGUUCAUCAGGUGCUUUGCAGCUGAUAAGAUGCAUUUGCUUAGACAGCCUUGGUUAGUCUACACAGCGGUUCGAACUCCUUGGACUUUCUGAGACCAGAGAACUGCCACUUCAUACCUGACACUGCUUAUUGCCAGUUCGCCUCUGCCAGACCUGGGGGGUGUGCCAGAGUGCCUGAGCCCCACUGAGCCUAUCAGUGCCUGCAGGGGGCCCCCCCCCCCCCCCGCCUCCCCGCCAUCAGAGGCUGCCCUGGGCGGACGCUGCCAGAUGCACAUUAUUUACACGUCACACUAAGUUCUCCCCACAGUGUGUGAGGUGGUGCCGUAUUGGAGGGGGGACCGAGACCUGAGGUCACACAGGACAUGGGGUAGGACAGCUCUGGAUCUCUUCUGGCAACCAGAGUUUACGCCUGAGGGCAGGGGCCUCCGAGGGCUUGGGUAUCUACUCAAGUUGCCUGAGAAUCUUCUUGAAAUGGCUUUAGUGUUGCAUAAUCAAUGUUAUGAAGGGGAAUGUUAUUUGUUAUUUCUCCACCCUCUACCUCCUGGACAGAAGAAAGGACCAGGGCCAAGGACAAACUCCGGGCGAAUUUAAACCCGGUCUUUUCUUACCUCGUUUCUGCCUCAAGCAGUCUAGAUUGGAUUCUUUAUAGGUAGGCCCGUUUCGAGUAUUGGUCUUUACUUUUUUUUUUUUUUUUUUAAAAUCUAUAUUUAGCUUUCCAAAUUUUCUUGGCAGGCUAAACUGCUCGCUUAUUUGAACCUUCAGUUUGCAUUUUCCCAAGAGCAGGAGAUAUUUUUAGAUGUCUGGGGCUGGCCCUCAAAGUGGAAGAAUAUUUUAUCAUAGUAAGAUAUUGUGAUCGAGUGGCUUUCAAGCACGACUUUGUUCAGAGUCUGUUUCUUACGAACGGACACAGAUUACUCGUCUAUGCAUUCUGCAAAGGCUGAACCGAAAUCUGAAGAGAGCUUUUACCGUAGGAUGGAGUUUAACAACAAGUUUGGUUGCUUAUUCCUCCUUCGAGCAUGGAGAAGAGCUCCUUCGCGUGCAGACAGCUGGUGAAAGAACUAGAAUACAGAAACCGAGUAGCCUCACCCGGAUUGGCGCCUGGGAGAAAAGCUGAGAUUCCAGGCCUGCGGAGGCGGAGAAGUUGGGCUCCGAGCAUCUCAUCACACCACAGAGUGAGAAAACUUUCAAAGGCACCUGGGGUUAGGUCAGGAGGAUUCAGAAGGGUCUUGUUGACAGUUUGAUAGGACAAUCUGAGCUUCAGAUAAGGAUAACGGCUGUGGGUUGAAAUACAGCAACUAAAUUGAAGUCCGUGAGUUGAAAAAAUACUUUCAGAAAAGCCCCCUUUUGGGGUCGUUUUGGGGGGGAGGAUGCUUAUUAUUUCGGAAGGCAGCUGUGCCCAUCGUUAUACCCACCCACCCCCCCGAUGUUUAUUAUUGUGAUUGCUGCUUAAAAAAGGAAAAGAAGGAACAAAAAGUAUGGUGUAGAGGUAAGGAGAUUCUAAAAUACGUGGAUGCCUGGGGCUUCCCCUCUGAGUCCUGUUACUCCUGGGGUCUUUGAAAGUCCAUCUGGGGACUCUGAGAAAUCCCCAGGGUCUAGGUCCUGCCCCAGAGAUUCUGACUGAGCCCAUUGUGAAAAGUUCCCCAGGCGGUGCAGUUAGGACCUGAGAACCCUGGGAGCCUCUCUCUUUGUUUCCCGGCUGACCCACCCUGUUUAUGGACGCAGCAUCCUUCCUCCUGGGUUCCAAUUCAAGCUCUGCCUGCUCGGCAGGUUAUUUGACUCAUCUGUACUUUCAUGCCCUUGUCCAUCAAACAGAGGAGGUGGAGAUCGCCUUUCUCAUCGGAUUCUUGUGAGAACUAGCUAAGUCUCCCGAGCACACGGUGAGCGUGCGGUAACCACUGUUGGCCAUGUUAGCCAUAACCAUUUGGAAUGGCACAGAAGACCGGAGGCAAUGUUCCCCGACAAGGAGCCAGAGGAGGGAAUGUUCAGGGCCAGUCUUGCUGAGGGAGGGGAAGUUCACUUCUGGGGGAGCCGGGAGAACCACCAGCUGGGUGAGUGAGAGAACAUUUAGGGGACACACAUCCUUCUGAGGAGUCGAUGGAAGUUUCGGUCAUCUAGAAAAAUGUUACCUAUGUACACACACGACUUUUGUCUACAAAUCUGGGGACUCGCAGACCCUCAAAGCCCACCUGCGGCUCCCAGGUUGAAAUCCGUUGUCAUCUCCAGGCUAAGUAACAGUGCCAUCAACUGCUGUAUUAUUUUGACAGUAUCAACCGAAACAUUAAAUACACAUAUUGUUUGAUCCAAUCAUUUCACUUUUUCAAGUCUGUCCUCCUAUAAAUAAUGCACAGGAACAAAAUGGUGAAAGUACAAAGUUGUUUAUUGGGGCCUUGCUGGUUAUGGAAAAGAUAAGAUACAUCUUAAAUGUGCAUCCAGAGAGGACCAAUCAAAGCGAUUAUGUUUGCACAGUGGAACACUCAGCAGCUUUCAAAAAGAAUGAAAAAAUCUUUGUAUGCCAAAGGGAACAAGUUCUAAGUACCGUAAAAGGCACAGACCAGCGCGCCCAGUGUGCUAUGAUUUUUGUAGAAAAAGAAGAAAAUGUAUGUGUGCGUGUAUGUGCAUUUGUUUGCAGAUGCACAGAAUGUUUCUGGAACGAGACCCAAUAAACCAACCAGUGCCCCAGGCUCCCAGGAGAACUACUUGACAGGGUGUUGAAUGUUUAAACUAAUUAAAAAAAAAAUUUAUAUUUACAAAGCAAGAAAGAAAACCCUGUGCCAGAUGAUGGAGGCUGGCUUCAAAGGUCAAGACUUUUGAAUGGGAGAGACAGGAGAAUCACCUGUUCUUUGGGGAGGAUGAAUCCGUCCACCCAAAUAGAGCAGGUGGGACCUGAGGCCCCUGAUGGGCAGAGCAGGUGAACUUCAUGCAUGGAGAGGUUCUGAAGACAGACACCGCCCUGGAGAUGACCCCAUGUGAAAGGCAAAGGAGGAGUCGGAAGGAUGUACGGUCUCAGAUUGCACGGGGCCGGGACUCCGGGAUGAGGCGGGAGGUGUGGGCUCGGGCGGGGCAGGUCAGGGGGUGAGAGCCAGGGAGGAGCACUGGGGCGAUACCCUGCUGGCAGGUUUUUCUGCAUAGCUGGGCAGUAGCUCAGCAUUGUGGGUCUCACCACCAGCACCGCAUUCCUUUGCUUACCACUUAAUUUUCAUGAAGCACUGCCUCUCUUUCCCUUCCCUGGGACUUGGGGGAACGCAGGCUCCACCACAAAGCCUCAGAAACUUCAGGCCGGGAGGACAAGGCCCACAUGAAGACAGUGAGGCCCAGGAGGAUGAGAGCUGAGACAAGAAGGCACAGGGCAGCGUCUUGCUCGGCCUCAGCUGGGAACAUGCACCUCAGACAACCCAAACGUUUUGCUGCUCUGCACGGGCCCGCCAAUAACCACGAGAGUGCUGUGAGUAUUGUUUAGUGACUGCGAAUAAAUUGUCGCGACUACAUACGUUUGCAAAGAGAGAAUCCAGUAAUGACAACUGACUGCACUUUUCAAUGCCACAAUUACACUCCAUCAGGCUGAAAAAUGUCACUUACUCAAUGAGGCCCCUGUGCCUGCACAUUGGAUGUCUCCGGCUUUUCCCGUUACAGACAAUGACACAGGAAAUAGCGUUACAGAGAUGGUUGCCUUCGUUUAACUUGUAUCCUUGAAUUUCCCAACUGGGCUUACUGGUAGGAGGCGUGGGCAGGGAGGGGUGACUUUCCACCAUUCACUAGGCUCGUCGCAGGCCCAGGCUGGGACAUUUGUGUGACCGAGUCUGGCCCUUCCAGGGGGAAGACAUCAGGGGACCCCCGGGAAAGGGUUCUUCCUGCCUAAGGAGACCAAGAUGAGACUGUCUCCGUUCUUGCUCUGGUCAUUGCUGUGUCUGGUAUCAGGCCUGGAGCUAUGAAACGAAGAGGACAGAGGUGGAGGGAAACGGCUUGGGCCCUGGCGAUGCAGCUAUGCUGCGAAAGAAUCAGCCCAGAGGUACAGCUGGCCGAGACUUCCCAGAACGUGACAUGGUCCGUUCCCUUCUGCUCAAGCCAGUCUGAGCUGGCGACGGCCCUUGGCACGGCACUGCCGAGGACCAGCUGGGAUGCCUGGGACCCCACCCCCCUCUUAGAACGCCCUGCUGGCUCCCCGUGACCCGCAGACCAAACUCGGGCCAUGGCCCUGCAAGCCCAGCCUGCCUGACUCCCCCCGCUCUGCGUCAGUCUCGCUGAGCCUCCGUCAGUGCCCCCAGCCCUGGGGCUUCCAAACGUGGGCUGAGAUUCAUGGUGAAAUUAGUUUGUUAGUUCGUCACCAACAACAUUAAAAAACUAAGUAGGCUGGACUAGCAAGUAGGAGUACGUUACCCAUGGGAAAGGGAAACAGUGUCCUGAAUCUGUUUCAUUGCACACACACACACACCACACAUGCACACCUGCACACACGUGUACCGGGUUGCCACGAAAGCAUCUCUCUUCUGUGGGCCCCAGUCGGUGUGGGGGAAACCUUUGCUCUGGAAUGCCUUCCUUCCUCUAGCCAAGGGCCUCUGCCUGUGCUGGUGUGCACCCCCUUCCACAGUCCUUUCCUCCACAGCACUGUCUGGGGCAGACACUCUUGACAUUGGGUCCACAGCACGGCUGCCAUAGCAGGAGCCCAUCGGGGACCUGAGGGCCACACUGGGGCCCAUAUGGGCCGCGUGAGCCUGGGAGAGGAAGGGAGUGGGAACGAAACUUGACAGGAGCCCUGGGUGGGACAGGUGGGAGGGGUCCUGGAGUGUCCCACAUCUGCAGUGACUAGAACUCAGUGUGGACGAGCCAGGGCAGACACAGCUGGGUGACGCUGGCCUCCUCUGGGCUGCCUCGGGGAGCCGGGCGCUCCUGGGUGGUCCUCACCCAGCUCGGAGACCCCCGUGCCCACGUGGGUGCUGCCUACAGCCCAUGGGGCAGCCCCCGUGCCUGAGUCAGUGGCUGCCAGCCUGUGAAGUUUCUGAGCAAGAAUCAUUACCUCCUCCGCGCGGCGGGGGGGAGGAAACCGGUUCUGGGAGGCCAAGCGACUUUCCCAAAGUUACUCAUGGGAGCGCGCCAGGCCUGGACUGGAAUCCAGGACCCGCACACAGCUAGCUUUGUAUGGAAGUUCUACGCUCCAUAAUUUAACCUAGGACACUUCCAAACACUGAGUCACUACAUCCUGAUUCACAGAGGGCGAGUUUUCUCUGUGGCUUUAAGGUUAGCAGGAAAUUGUGGCCCAGGGCCCUUGGCCUCCGGUGAGGGCCCAUGUCUUAUCCGGUCCACUCCAGGAACAAUAGUGCCGGCCAGAGCCCCAGCUACCACCGCUCCUGGCAGAACAAAUCAUAUAAGGAGGCCUUGGUACCCAUAAGGCAAAGGAGGGGCUGGCCGCUGGCUGGGGAAAGUCUGUGCCUACCUUGGGGUGUGUGCCUGGGAGGGGCAGGAUGCCGCCGCAGGGGGAGGGGCUGGUGAGUCAGCGGGGGGCCUCCUCCGCCUUCCUCCCCUCCCUCCUGGCUUCCUCCCCCAGGGCCACUGCACCCCCCACUGACCCAGCUUUUUAUUGACCGAGCAGUACAGAUUUUCAUAAAGUAGGGUAAUAAAACCAUUCUUACCCAUCCAAAGUCUAAAUAGCUUUUCCUUCUUGUCUCUUUAAAAAAAAAAAAAAAAAAAAAAAAAAACAA